Small nuclear RNA from Dermacentor silvarum, 187 nucleotides. RefSeq annotates it as U2 spliceosomal RNA. The record is from RefSeq and is a predicted model, not a curated record. Lineage: Eukaryota; Metazoa; Arthropoda; Arachnida; Ixodida; Ixodidae. The transcript has a single exon.
ACACAUGGCCGACGCGGGUCAAAGUGUAGUAUCUGUUCUUAUCAGCUUAAUAUCUGAUAGGCGUUGUGUUUGGACCCAAGAUAUUAAACUUAUUUUUGCAAGUUGGCGGAGUGCUUGAGACCUGCUUCACCUUCGUCGCGGGUCGGCCCGGUCUUGCACAAUCUUCGGGAUUUUUGGUCUACGCACA